GGAUUGCUUGAGAAUGCAGUCCAAAGUUCGUGGUAAACUCCAUGAGAGGCUAAAUACCUGGCACGAGUCCGAUAGCAAACAAGUACCGUGAGGGAAAGUUGAAAAGUACUCUGAAGAGAGAGUAAAUAGUACGUGAAACCACAUACAGGUAAACGGGUGGAGUCCAGCUGCGUGUUGUGGGGACUUAGCUGGUGUGUGCAUAUGCAGAUGCAUUAAACUUUCACGUGUGGCUUGCUUAUAAUGGCAAAUUAGGCUCACGCCUAAUUCACGUUCCGUCAUGUAGACGGUGUDGGCUGCGCGUGGUAUCUGUUUGCAUGCCGGUGAUUUCCUCAUGACUGACAUCACAGUCAAUACAGCCGCUUGUGUGUGAUGAUCAAACCGUAGUGUAGUGGGCCUUGAAGUUCACUCACUUUGUGGAUGGCASGUCGUUUGACUAUYUGCCUUGUGUAAAUGGUUCAAACAUAAUUAUGGUUGCGGCCAGCCGAUCAUCAUGCUGUYAAAAGCUUGCUUACAUUUAACUAUGCGGUGUAUUGGUUAUGAGUGUGCCAACCAAAUGGCGUUGCUAUCAGACUGGCUUACGGGAAGUUAUGUGUAAAAGCGUGCUUGUCGUAYAGCUAUAGUGUGUGUAGUGAUGUUGUGAGGUCACG
This 647-nucleotide ribosomal RNA is filed under the name Loimosina wilsoni. RNAcentral's name for it is "partial large subunit ribosomal RNA". The record is from RNAcentral. Lineage: Eukaryota; Metazoa; Platyhelminthes; Monogenea; Monocotylidea; Loimoidae.